This 253-nucleotide ribosomal RNA is filed under the name uncultured bacterium. Its description in RNAcentral is "partial 16S ribosomal RNA". It matches the Rfam family "Bacterial small subunit ribosomal RNA", at positions 524 to 776 of the family's 1533-position model. The record is from RNAcentral.
UACAGAGGCCCCAAGCGUUACUGAGAAUCACUGGGUUUAAAGGGUGCGUAGGUGGCGCGUUAAGUCCGUUGUGAAAGCCCUGGGCUCAACCCAGGAACUGCUUCGGAUACUGGCGCGCUUGAGGCUAGUAGGGGUCACUGGAACUGACGGUGGAGCGGUGAAAUGCGUAGAUAUUGGGAGGAACACCAGUGGCGAAGGCGGCUCACUGGACCGGUACUGACGCUGAUGCGCGAAAGCGUGGGGAGCAAACGGG